Molecule: long non-coding RNA, 310 nt
Organism: Xenia sp. Carnegie-2017
Lineage: Eukaryota; Metazoa; Cnidaria; Anthozoa; Malacalcyonacea; Xeniidae
Exons: 2
Source: RefSeq, a predicted model, not a curated record
AGUAAUCUGUGAAUUUGAUUUUCAUGUGCGCCAUACUAAUGGCUCCGUACAAAAUAAUAUCAUUAGAUACUCUUUGUUAUUAGGCGAGAUGUUGGUGCCCUUUCUUUGUUGGUUAUUCCCUUAAGACACCCAUGAAAAUCAAGAAUUGUGAUAAUUAUGUUUGUUUGUCUGAUGAGAUGAAGGCAAGCAAGGAAGAGCAAGUCGCAGCUUUGGCAAAAAACGUGUUAAGUGGCAAGCAGAUGAAAAUGCUUAAGUAUCUGUUCAAGGAUUAUCGACAGUGGUAGUAAUUAUUAAAACUUUUUUUUUCUCA